AAUGGAAUGCCUGACCAAAGGAUUAUCGUGAUAGGAUAAAUAAUGUAAGCAAUUACUUCCAUUA
This 64-nucleotide transfer RNA is filed under the name Cryptocercus zagunaoensis. RNAcentral's name for it is "tRNA-Ile". Lineage: Eukaryota; Metazoa; Arthropoda; Insecta; Blattodea; Cryptocercidae. The record is from RNAcentral.